This is a small nuclear RNA of Bison bison bison, 98 nucleotides long. The record is from Ensembl. NCBI's taxonomy places the organism in Eukaryota, Metazoa, Chordata, Mammalia, Artiodactyla, Bovidae.
GCGCUUUGGCAGCACAUACACUAAAACUGCAACGAUACAGAGAUUAUUAUUCUCUGAGCAAGGAUGACAUGCAAAUGUGUGAAGCUUUCUAUUUUGUA